CAGAGAUUAAGAAACACUCUAUUAGAGGAGAGAUUAAGAAACACUCUAUCAGAGGCUGACCUAAAGCGCAAAAUUUAAGAAACUCUAGCAGCGCGCAUAAAUUAUAAACCUCACUAUUAGAAGGAUACAAAAUUAUCACAAAAAAAAGGAUACAAAAAUUACGAAUCUAUAUCGAUACUCGGAGGGAUCCCUUAACCAUGGCUCCUUGAUCCUUGUAGCUCAUAUGCUCCUUGAUCAAGGAACACCAUUUAUAUGUCAAUCAUGGAUGUUGUAGAUCAUGGUAAAUAAAAAUAUUUGUGUCAAAAUAUCAUUCCUCUUGUUGAUUACUGAUUUCUGCCGCAGAAUCUAAUUGCCCACCUUUAUCGGGGAUCACGUUCUUGUGCAGUCAAAACUUUCUCGUAUUUAUAUAGUCGGUCAUAUGCAGCCGCUCAAUUAAGAUCAAACAGUUUAAAACCAC
Molecule: long non-coding RNA, 457 nt
Filed under: Trifolium pratense (red clover)
Lineage: Eukaryota; Viridiplantae; Streptophyta; Magnoliopsida; Fabales; Fabaceae
Description: long non-coding RNA (TPRA_LNC011321)
Source: RNAcentral